CUUUAGUGCAGUAGGCAGAGUGUCAGUCUCAUAAGCUGAAGGUCCUGAGUUUGAUCCUCAGAAG
Monodelphis domestica (gray short-tailed opossum) is the source of this 64-nucleotide transfer RNA. It matches the Rfam family "tRNA", at positions 5 to 66 of the family's 71-position model. From Rfam's summary of the family: Transfer RNA (tRNA) molecules are approximately 80 nucleotides in length. Their secondary structure includes four short double-helical elements and three loops (D, anti-codon, and T loops). Further hydrogen bonds mediate the characteristic L-shaped molecular structure. tRNAs have two regions of fundamental functional importance: the anti-codon, which is responsible for specific mRNA codon recognition, and the 3' end, to which the tRNAs corresponding amino acid is attached (by aminoacyl-tRNA synthetases). tRNAs cope with the degeneracy of the genetic code in two manners: having more than one tRNA (with a specific anti-codon) for a particular amino acid; and 'wobble' base-pairing, i.e. permitting non-standard base-pairing at the 3rd anti-codon position. The record is from Rfam. Lineage: Eukaryota; Metazoa; Chordata; Mammalia; Didelphimorphia; Didelphidae.